ACGCUCGACACCUACGGAGGCAGCAGUGGGGAAUAUUGCACAAUGGGGGAAACCCUGAUGCAGCGACGCCGCGUGGAGGAAGAAGGUCUUCGGAUUGUAAACUCCUGUUGUUGGGGAAAAAGAGGAUGGUACCCAACAAGGAAGUGACGGCUAACUACGUGCCGCAGCCGCCGGUAAGUACUGAGCGGGCGUGGCGAAGGACG
This 203-nucleotide ribosomal RNA is filed under the name uncultured bacterium. RNAcentral describes it as "partial 16S ribosomal RNA". It matches the Rfam family "Bacterial small subunit ribosomal RNA", at positions 328 to 540 of the family's 1533-position model. The record is from RNAcentral.